RNAcentral lists this unclassified non-coding RNA (348 nucleotides) under soil metagenome. RNAcentral describes it as "partial contains 5.8S ribosomal RNA, internal transcribed spacer 2, and large subunit ribosomal RNA". The stretch from base 1 to 120 matches the Rfam family "5.8S ribosomal RNA", at positions 35 to 154 of the family's 154-position model. The record is from RNAcentral.
GAUGAAGAACGCAGCGAAAUGCGAUAAGUAAUGUGAAUUGCAGAAUUCAGUGAACCAUCGAAUCUUUGAACGCACAUUGCGCCCGCCAGUAUUCUGGCGGGCAUGCCUGUCUGAGCGUCAUUUCAACCCUCAUGCCCCUAGGGCGUGGUGUUGGGGAUCGGCCAAAGCCCGCGAGGGACGGCCGGCCCCUAAAUCUAGUGGCGGACCCGUCGUGGCCUCCUCUGCGAAGUAGUGAUAUUCCGCAUCGGACAGCGACGAGCCCCUGCCGUUAAACCCCCAACUUUCCAAGGUUGACCUCAGAUCAGGUAGGAAUACCCGCUGAACUUAAGCAUAUCAAUAAGCGGAGGA